RNAcentral lists this ribosomal RNA (844 nucleotides) under uncultured bacterium. RNAcentral's name for it is "bacterial SSU rRNA". It matches the Rfam family "Bacterial small subunit ribosomal RNA", at positions 72 to 914 of the family's 1533-position model. The record is from RNAcentral.
CGAUGUAGCAAUACAUUGGUGGCGACCGGCGCACGGGUGAGUAACGCGUAUGCAACCUACCUAUCAGAGGGGAAUAACCCGGCGAAAGUCGGACUAAUACCGCAUAAAACAGGGGUUCCACAUGGAAAUAUUUGUUAAAGAAUUAUCGCUGAUAGAUGGGCAUGCGUUCCAUUAGAUAGUUGGUGAGGUAACGGCUCACCAAGUCCACGAUGGAUAGGGGUUCUGAGAGGAAGGUCCCCCACACUGGUACUGAGACACGGACCAGACUCCUACGGGAGGCAGCAGUGAGGAAUAUUGGUCAAUGGGCGAGAGCCUGAACCAGCCAAGUCGCGUGAAGGAUGAAGGAUCUAUGGUUUGUAAACUUCUUUUAUAUGGGAAUAAAGUGAGGAACGUGUUCCUUUUUGUAUGUACCAUAUGAAUAAGCAUCGGCUAACUCCGUGCCAGCAGCCGCGGUAAUACGGAGGAUGCGAGCGUUAUCCGGAUUUAUUGGGUUUAAAGGGUGCGUAGGUGGUUAAUUAAGUCAGCGGUGAAAGUUUGUGGCUCAACCAUAAAAUUGCCGUUGAAACUGGUUGACUUGAGUAUAUUUGAGGUAGGCGGAAUGCGUGGUGUAGCGGUGAAAUGCAUAGAUAUCACGCAGAACUCCGAUUGCGAAGGCAGCUUACUAAACUAUAACUGACACUGAAGCACGAAAGCGUGGGGAUCAAACAGGAUUAGAUACCCUGGUAGUCCACGCAGUAAACGAUGAUUACUAGCUGUUUGCGAUACACAGUAAGCGGCACAGCGAAAGCGUUAAGUAAUCCACCUGGGGAGUACGCCGGCAACGGUGAAACUCAAAGGAAUUGAC